UCCACUCCCCAACGGGUCUACCAUUUUACAUUUUACAAAAGGAUCAUCUUCCAGGACACCAUUUGGAGCCCAAGUACAACAGUUAUUGAUGGCAACAGUAGGAGGAGGAAAAAGAGGAAAGGAAGGAGGAAGUCAGGGAGGGAGUAAAUGAGAUGUUGCUGUAAUGAAAUCAGCUUUCAUAAAGAGAUGACACUUUCCACAGGUAAUGUUACGGCCAUGUUUCAAUUGUGUGAUUUUGCAUAUGAUUAAGGAUUUAUACCUGGUCUCCAGCAUUCUCCGGACCAAUUCCAACUUUGCCACUUACUGUCUUGCAGGGCCUUGCGCCACGUCCUUAGCCUCAGCUUUCUACUUGCUAAAAUGGAAAUAACAACAGUACCUACCUUACAGACCUGGCGUGAGGAUUAAAUUAUACCAGCAAAGUGCCUGGCACCUAGAAUUUGCCUGAGUUCUGAUCAAUGCUAAAAACACCAUUUAACAGUGCCCUUUCCUGCCUGGGAAGCCCACAAAGAUUUCGCUUUUCACUUAUUACUCAUCAAACUGACUCUGGUUCACAGUGGAAAAGAGAAGAAAAGCUGAUGGAGAAAUGGCAGUGAAGAAGGAGAACAAAAUGUCAGAGCAAUACUUUUGAGCGACUAUAUCCUUUUCAUUAAAGGUGUCAACACGUUUAUUUGCAUCUUUGACCCUAGGACUAGGGAAGUGCUGGAAAUUAUGUGGGUACUUUUUCCCAUGGGAAAAAUGUACCUCCUGGGUCGGGGGAAGGCUGAAAAUAGGUGAAAGUGAGAAUACUCAGUUGAUCUUCAAUUUUUUUUGUCUUAUAAUUAAAAAAGUGCUGUUGAAAGGAAUAGGGUUGCAUUUCACCUAGAAUCAGUGCCAAGUAUCAACAGCUAAUGUCUGUCUUUUGAAGAAAGAAUCUUUCAUACCAUGGGGGUUUUAAAGCUACUGAUAAAACAAAAAGCUAUUUUCUGAAGACCAGCCAACCUGAAAAACAAGUGUUUUAAAACCUAGAGAAUUUCCUUUAAUGUAAAUAAUCAAAGAUGUUUUCAAUUAUUUUGCUAUUACUUACAUACAAUGGUUUUACGUUUAUGAGAAGUGCUAUCCCUGAAAUAACAAUAAUAUGAUCAUUUAUAAGUGGGGUGUGGAAAAAUAACACAAGCAUACAGAAAACCAGGAAGGAAUUUUUCCAGUAAAAAUUAAGCAAUAUUCACCACAAUUGGCUCACAUUGUGGAACUGGGAAGAACAAGAAAAUAAUAAAAAGAAAAAUAAAUCUUUACUGAAAUGUAGUGAUAGUGUUUCACUCGCAACCGCUUCUUCAAAUUGAGAUGCAGAAGAAAUGUGUAAAAAGCAAAACUGGUACAAAUCUUGAUUACAAUUUUGGAUCAGUUUAAGACAAUAUGGCUCAACAGAGCAAUUUACAUAGGCUAACAGAGCAAACUUGAGUUGGUAAUUUACUUUAUUGGAUACACAUUUCACCUACAAAAAAAAAAAAAGAAAGGAGGGAGGCAGGAACAA
Molecule: long non-coding RNA, 1510 nt
Filed under: Homo sapiens (human)
Lineage: Eukaryota; Metazoa; Chordata; Mammalia; Primates; Hominidae
Description: HSALNT0340378
Source: RNAcentral